RNAcentral lists this ribosomal RNA (460 nucleotides) under uncultured bacterium. Its description in RNAcentral is "bacterial SSU rRNA". It matches the Rfam family "Bacterial small subunit ribosomal RNA", at positions 83 to 518 of the family's 1533-position model. The record is from RNAcentral.
ACUGAGAAGAUAGUGGCGAACGGGUGAGUAACACGUGGGUAACCGUGCCCGAUAAGAGGGGGAGUAACAUCCGGAAACGGGUGCUAAUACCGCAUAGUUUUCGUUUGAUCGACAUGAUCGGGAAAGGAAAGACGGCCUUUGUGCUGUCGCUUAUGGAUGGACCCGCGGCGUAUUAGUUAGUUGGUGAGGUAACGGCUCACCAAGACGAUGAUACGUAGCCGACCUGAGAGGGUGAUCGGCCACAUUGGGACUGAGACACGGCCCAAACUCCUACGGGAGGCAGCAGUAGGGAAUCUUCCGCAAUGGACGAAAGUCUGACGGAGCAACGCCGCGUGAGUGAAGAAAAGGGUUUUCGGAUCGUAAAACUCUGUUGUCAGAGAAGAACAAGUUGGAGAGUAACUGCUCCAGCCUUGACGGUAUCUGACCAGAAAGCCACGGCUAACUACGUGCCAGCAGCCGC